GACGAACCACACGAACGUUAUUCGGAAUCAUUGGGCUUAAAGGGCGCGUAGGCGGCGGUGUAAGUUGGACGUGAAAUCCCAUCGGCUCAACCGUGGAAUUGCUCCCAGUACUGCAUCGCUCGAGGGGGAUAGGGGUCUGCGGAACUACCGGUGGAGCGGUGAAAUGUGUUGAUAUCGGUGGGAACGCCAGUGGCGAAAGCGGCAGACUGGACCCUUCCUGACGCUGAGGCGCGAAAGCUAGGGGAGCAAACGGG
RNAcentral lists this ribosomal RNA (254 nucleotides) under uncultured bacterium. Its description in RNAcentral is "partial 16S ribosomal RNA". It matches the Rfam family "Bacterial small subunit ribosomal RNA", at positions 524 to 776 of the family's 1533-position model. The record is from RNAcentral.